Long non-coding RNA from Sarcophilus harrisii (Tasmanian devil), 3987 nucleotides. The record is from Ensembl. Lineage: Eukaryota; Metazoa; Chordata; Mammalia; Dasyuromorphia; Dasyuridae.
GCUCUGUCCCUUAUACCACUCAGUUGCAUAGGUAUGUAUAUAUCUAGCCUAGGGAUCUAAGUAACGGUGCCUGUUGGAAUGGAAAUUCCUAAGUGCUCCAAACCACUUCCAUCUACAUCUGGGGGAUGGUUUGAUCAGCAGGGAUACCUCUAGACUUUGAUGACAUAAAGUAAUAGCUCCUACAGGAAGAGUUUAAUUCCAAAUCAAAAGAUGAAUCCAAUCAACAGCAUCGAUGACAAGUGGUCAACUAAACCUGGCUCCUGUUCACCACUUUAUGAAUGACAUGGUCAUUUAUGUAAUCUACAAAACUGGGUUUGGUUUUCUUGGCUUUUUCUCUACUCUUAACCUUAAUUCCUCUUAAUUUCUCUUGUGUAAUACAUCUUUCAUCUGUUCCUCUUCUUUAUUUCCCCUACUGUCACCCAGGACAAGCUUUAUUUCUACCUUCCUGGAGUGUCACAAUUGUCUUCUAAUAGAAAUAUUCUGGUAUCCACCCUAUUCCUUUUCCAAUUCAUUCUUCAUAGCACAAUUUGAUGAAUCUUCCUUAUGCAAAGCCUAGUCAUGCCUUUCCUCUGCUCACAAUUUUUCAGUGGCUCUUUAUUGCCUAUUAAGUUAAAUACUUUUUUGUAACUUUUAAAACCCCCAAUCUGAAACUGCCUUACUUUUCAAAGCAUAAUUAUUACUUCCUUCUUGAUGUCCCAGUCAAGAAAACUCUGUCCUCUCAAAAUGCCCUGUGUUAUUUAGCUUGCCUGUCCUUUUGGUCAUGCUGUUCACUAUGCCUGGGAUAUCUUUCUUCCCUUCCCCUCUUUAUCCCUUAAAUUCCUACCUUUCCUUUGAUACCUCUUUCAAUUGACAUGCACUGUUUGAGGCUUUCCCUGUACUGUUUAUAUUUUUUUAAAAUUUUCUUAUGCACUUUUCUGUUAGUAUAAGUCUAAUUACACUAAAAUGUAACUUUAACACAAGGAUUAUAUUUUAUGUGAAUUUUGGGUUUAAUCUAUCCAGUCUCACUUGUUACAUCCCUAUACAUCUGCUUAAUGUUUAAAGUAAAUUAAAUUGCUGAACAGCCUAUUUCAAAUAAUAAAGAAGUUAAGCGGGAAUAAGAUUCAAAAUGAUUCCAGGUAAGGAGCUUCUUCUAGAUAUGAACUUCCUAUUUCCUUGACCUAAGAGAUUCAGACUGGGUUGUUGCUGAACCCAGGACCCUCAAAGAACAUUUUUGGUUCCUACUGAGGUCAGUUACUCUAGCUGUCCAAGUUGUGACUGUUCCUGAAAUCUCACUGAUGAACUGAUUCUUGGAGUAAAAUUAUCAACCAGUGAAAAAGUUGUGAGUAAAUUAUAACUGAGAAAGGGCUCUAGAAACAUUGUAGGGACUUUUCUCUUAGCUUUAUCCUUACAUCAGAAGGAUUAAAUGUCACCUAGAGCGUACAGAGAGGUAACAGGUUUAUUUCAAGGCCUUCUAGUGAAAGUCUGGAAGGAACAUUCUCUGUGGAUCACAGUUCGGCAAUAGUUUAUUCAAAAUAUAAAUAGCAGAGGGAGGGUGAACUGCAUCCAAGUAAAUUUAAGAAGUAUAUUUUUGGAUGACUUGUAGCUUGAAAACAUUCCACUCUCAGUCAUCCAGAAUGAUGCAUCACUUAGAUUUCAUCUUCCAUGACUGUGCUAUGACACUAACCUCUGAAAUUCUCUUUUCUCAUCAAACUCUAAAUCUACUUCCUAAGUAUAUUCUUUAUCAUUACACUACCUACCAUUCCGUCCAUCAAUCUGUUUUCAAAAUGUCUUUCUCAUGUCUAAUUUUCCUCUUUUAGUCAUAACCUCAUAGCUAAUUGCAAAUCUUCAAUGCCCUUCACCAUUACCCAUGUUUUACCAAUCCUUAACCUGGGCACUCCUACUAUCUGACUUCUCCAUUUUUAAGUCAUUUACCCAAGCUGAGUCUUUUUGAAGUUACAUCUUAGCCCACCUCAACUGUCUCUCCUCACUGAUAUCUGGUGAUCAACUUUUCUUCUGAUUGACUACUGCACUUUCCCCACCCUCCAUCUCAGGUACUAUUUCAAAUCUUCUCUGUCUUCAAGUACUCUAUAGCACUUCAACUUCCCUCUUCCUCAAUGGAUGACAUACUUUACUGAGAAAAUCAAGUGUAGUCAUUCUUCAAACUUGAUAUCCCAUCUUGCAUAAAACAUCCCCCCUACUCUAGAGUAUAAUCCCACCUUAUCCUCCUCUUAGAAUUUUGAUCUUAAAACAGUUCAGAUGCCAUCUCCUCCAUGAAACCUUUUCAGAUAUCUGUAAAUAUGUAUCCUUUCUCUUCUAUAUUAUUUACUUAUGUAUAUGCAUUUUGUAUUUUCUUUCCUUCCAUUAGAGGUCAAAGUACUUUUUUUCUUUAUAGAUAGUAUGUGCUUCAUCAUAGAAUUGAAUUUCAAACAUCCAGAACUCAAAUUUUAACAUUGUUCAAUUAAGAGCUAAAAAAAAAAAAUUAUUAUAAAUCAUGAUAAGAAUACCUAAGAUAUAUGUUGGAUUUAGGUUUCAAAAAUUGCAAAAACUUUCAAUGGGAUAGCAAGUUACGAGACCUGGGUUUCUGGUUUUGGCCUUUAUUGGGCCUUGGCCUGUGGGACUUUGGGUAAGUUAAUUUUCUGGGCCUAGUUCUCCUCAAUUAUAAAUGGAAUAAGAUUGGCCUAGAUCAUUAACUUGCCUCCAUUCUUCAUUAUUCUACAUUACUAACUGCUCUACAUGGUGGGACAGAGUAGUGGAAGAGGUAGGACUGAGAUAAUGAAAGAGAGAAGUAGCUGGCCUUUGAAUGGGAGAAAAGAUGUAUAAAUUUGAGAAGAGUAAAAAUAAGGGAAGAAAAAAGGAGCCAUGGUUCGGGGGAAACAGAUGAUGCCAUAGCACAAGAGAAAAUUGGCAGGAAUUACUUUCCUUUGUUGCUGCUGUCCAUUGCCUAGUCUCUUUCCCCCUAAUAUCUUCAUUACUGAUUGCUGGUAUAGAUAUGUUCUGCUUAGCAAAUAAAUCAGUGGAUCUGGGGAUCCUAAGUGUUGUCUGAAGACUGGGACCUUGGCACCAAGGGACGAGAUACAGGUCUGAAUCUGGAAUGAGCUGAGGAAGGGUUGGGAAUCAUUAUUUCAAAAAGUUAGAAUUCUGAGAUGCCCAUCAACUGUCACCUAGCUGGAGAUCUGAAUCCUGGUGUUUGCUGGGACCAUUUUACGUCACAGGUGAUGGAAAUUCAAAAUAAAAAUAUUAUGGCUCUAAAAGAGAGAUGGAUUGACAGAUACUCAGUGAUAGGAGCUGGUAAUUGUGAACUUGGAAAGUUCUGGGACAAAGGAUCUUACAGAAGACACAAAAUAAAGGAACAAGAGUCAAUCCAAGAGGACAAAUAGAUCAGGAUUGCUUAUUAUACCCAUGUCAGGUCCAUGAUAAGAAUGGCAGUGAAAUAGGAAACUAAGCUGAAUUUCAGCCAACUAGGGUUUAUCUAAAGGAGCAAAAAGGGGAAAACUACCAUUGGAUCUGCCCCUUGAACAGGAUCAUCAUCACAGAUAAGCAAAUCAGUGCCUAGCUUGCUGUGGAAGUUUGUGAGGAAGUCAAAGAAGAUAAACUAACAGCUCUUUAGACCCUCUCAGAAGAAUAAUAACAAUGUUUAUAUAGCAUUUUAAAGUAUUAUCUUCUUUGAUACUUACAACAAUCCUUUGAGAGAAAGAAAUUGAAAAAGUCAUUAAAGAACUCCCUAAGAAAAAAUCUCCAGGGCCAGAUGGAUUCACAAGUGAAUUCUACCAAACAUCAAACAUCAAACAUUUCCAGAGGAAAGAGCUGUCACAGGAGUCUUUUAGCAUUCCUGUAUUUCUGUCAAAGGAUAAAGUUGGGGACCACAUCAAUAUUACUUCAUGGCAUCUAUGGUCUAAGAGUCACAACCAGCUGACCUUCCAUGAAACAGUUUCAGAAAGAAGACCCUGCUAUUGAUCACUACUACUUCCUGCCUUUCUACCAUUAAAGUCACUUCUUAUAUGAGCUCAA